AAGGAUUUAAGUUAAAAAAACUUGUAGUCUUCAAAACUACGAAUAAAGACCCGCCUUUAAGCCUUA
RNAcentral lists this transfer RNA (66 nucleotides) under Ochthebius nanus. RNAcentral describes it as "tRNA-Trp". Lineage: Eukaryota; Metazoa; Arthropoda; Insecta; Coleoptera; Hydraenidae. The record is from RNAcentral.